ACGCUCAUUUCACGCUCAAACAGCGCUUCUCGUCCGAUCACAGACGAUAAGCAUCGCCGAGACAGAUCAGUACCUAGAUGGGUGACUGCUUGGGAAUGUCAUGUGCUGUAAG
Molecule: non-coding RNA, 112 nt
Organism: Acanthosepion pharaonis
Lineage: Eukaryota; Metazoa; Mollusca; Cephalopoda; Sepiida; Sepiidae
Source: the annotation of a GenBank genome assembly